CACAUCAACCUUAAAACCUAGCCUGGACACCAGCCAAACUUAGCCCCGACCACAACAUUUGAGGUUGGGAAGUUCAUAUUCUGACUAGAAU
This is a long non-coding RNA of Etheostoma spectabile (orangethroat darter), 91 nucleotides long. RefSeq lists it as uncharacterized. NCBI's taxonomy places the organism in Eukaryota, Metazoa, Chordata, Actinopteri, Perciformes, Percidae. The record is from RefSeq and is a predicted model, not a curated record. The transcript is spliced from 3 exons.